CGCGGGAUGUCUGUUGGUAGGCCGCUCGGUUUCAUACGCCGAUGCGACGACGGUUCGAUUCCGUCUCCCGCAACCA
This 76-nucleotide transfer RNA is filed under the name Burkholderia vietnamiensis. RNAcentral's name for it is "tRNA-Met". It matches the Rfam family "tRNA". From Rfam's summary of the family: Transfer RNA (tRNA) molecules are approximately 80 nucleotides in length. The record is from RNAcentral. RNAcentral also lists the same sequence under 2 other names. Lineage: Bacteria; Pseudomonadati; Pseudomonadota; Betaproteobacteria; Burkholderiales; Burkholderiaceae.